CUACAUUUGGGUUGAGGUGAUCAUUCCAGACUUUGUGAGAGCCUGCGUCACCUUGAACCUUCCAAAGAGCAAGGCCCAGGGAAGAGGCCCCACGAGUCCCAGUCUAACGGAAGCAAUGGAAUCAAGAGUGAAGGGUGAUGUGCAAAGAGGCUCCUGCUUUCUGGGAACCCAACCUGCCACACCCUGUCUAUAAAGCCAUGGUCCUGCACCUGCCUCCCACUCUGAUGUCGUAUCUCAAGAAUCUUCCUCUGAGUCCACUUCAGCCACAUGGACCUUCUUUUGAUGCCUCAGAGUCUUCUCACUUGCGGGUCCCUUAGCCUGUGAAGACUUCUCC
Molecule: long non-coding RNA, 334 nt
Filed under: Camelus dromedarius (Arabian camel)
Lineage: Eukaryota; Metazoa; Chordata; Mammalia; Artiodactyla; Camelidae
Description: lncRNA (ENSCDRG00005017671.1)
Source: RNAcentral